GAUGAACGCUAGCUACAGGCUUAACACAUGCAAGUCGAGGGGAAACGAUAGGGAAAGCUUGCUUUUUCUAGGCGUCGACCGGCGCACGGGUGAGUAACGCGUAUCCAACCUGCCCAUCACUUGGGGAUAACCUUGCGAAAGUAAGACUAAUACCCAAUGACGUCUCUAGAAGACAUCUGAAGGAGAUUAAAGAUUUAUCGGUGAUGGAUGGGGAUGCGUCUGAUUAGCUUGUUGGCGGGGUAACGGCCCACCAAGGCGACGAUCAGUAGGGGUUCUGAGAGGAAGGUCCCCCACAUUGGAACUGAGACACGGUCCAAACUCCUACGGGAGGCAGCAGUGAGGAAUAUUGGUCAAUGGACGAGAGUCUGAACCAGCCAAGUAGCGUGCAGGAAGACGGCCCUAUGGGUUGUAAACUGCUUUUAUAAGGGAAUAAAGUGAGUCUCGUGAGACUUUUUGCAUGUACCUUAUGAAUAAGGACCGGCUAAUUCCGUGCCAGCCGCCGCCGUAA
Molecule: ribosomal RNA, 508 nt
Filed under: uncultured bacterium
Lineage: Bacteria
Description: partial 16S ribosomal RNA
Rfam family: Bacterial small subunit ribosomal RNA
Source: RNAcentral